GACGAACGCUGGCGGCGUGCCUAGUACAUGCAAGUAGAACGCUGAAGAGAGGAGCUUGCUCUUCUUGGAUGAGGUGCGAACGGGUGAGUAACGCGUAGGUAACCUGCCUUGUGGCGGGGGAUAACUAUUGGAAACGAUAGGUAAUACCGCAUAACGAUGGAUGACACGUGUGAUUUAUUUGAGAGGGGCAAUUGCUCGACUACAAGAUGGACCUGCUUUGUAUUAGCUAGUAGGUGAGGGAAUGGCUCACCUACGCGACGAUACAUAGCCGACCUGAGAGGGUGAUCGGCCACGCUGGGACUGAGACACGGCCCAGACUCCUACCGGAGGCAGCAGAACGGAAUCUUCGGCAGUGGGGGCAACCCUGACCGAGCAACGCCGCGUGAGUGAAGAAGGUUUUCGGAUCGUAAAGCUCUGUUGUAAGUCAAGAAGGGGUGUGAGAGUGGAAAGUUCACACUGUGACCGUAGCUUACCACAAAGGGAUGGCUAACUACGUGCCAUCAGCCGCAGUAAUACGUAGGUCGCGAUCGUUGUCCGGAUAUACUGUGCGAAAAGCGAGCGCAGUCGGUUUGAUAGUCUGAAGUUAAGGGCUGUGGCUCAACCAUAGUUCGCUUUGGAAACUGUCAAACUUGAGUGCAGAAGGGGAGAGUGGAAUUCCAUGUGUAGCGGUGAAAUGCGUAGAUAUAUGGAGGAACACCGGUGGCGAAAGCGGCUCUCUGGUCUGUAACUGACGCUGAGGCUCGAAAGCGUGGGGAGCGAACAGGAUUAGAUACCCUGGUAGUCCACGCCGUAAACGAUGAGUGCUAGGUGUUGGAUCCUUUCCGGGAUUCAGUGCCGCAGCUAACGCAUUAAGCACUCCGCCUGGGGAGUACGACCGCAAGGUUGAAACUCAAAGGAAUUGACGGGGGCCCGCACAAGCGGUGGAGCAUGUGGUUUAAUUCGAAGCAACGCGAAGAACCUUACCAGGUCUUGACAUCCCGAUGCUAUUUCUAGAGAUAGAAAGUUACUUCGGUACAUCGGUGACAGGUGGUGCAUGGUUGUCGUCAGCUCGUGUCGUGAGAUGUUGGGUUAAGUCCCGCAACGAGCGCAACCCCUAUUGUUAGUUGCCAUCAUUCAGUUGGGCACUCUAGCGAGACUGCCGGUAAUAAACCGGAGGAAGGUGGGGAUGACGUCAAAUCAUCAUGCCCCUUAUGACCUGGGCUACACACGUGCUACAAUGGUUGGUACAACGAGUUGCGAGUCGGUGACGGCGAGCUAAUCUCUUAAAGCCAAUCUCAGUUCGGAUUGUAGGCUGCAACUCGCCUACAUGAAGUCGGAAUCGCUAGUAAUCGCGGAUCAGCACGCCGCGGUGAAUACGUUCCCGGGCCU
This 1368-nucleotide ribosomal RNA is filed under the name uncultured bacterium. RNAcentral describes it as "bacterial SSU rRNA". It matches the Rfam family "Bacterial small subunit ribosomal RNA", at positions 28 to 1381 of the family's 1533-position model. The record is from RNAcentral.